GAUCAUGGCUCAGAUUGAACGCUGGCGGCAGGCCUAACACAUGCAAGUCGAGCGGUAGCACAGAGAGUUUGCUCUCGGGUGACGAGCGGCGGACGGGUGAGUAAUGUCUGGGAAACUGCCUGAUGGAGGGGGAUAACUACUGGAAACGGUAGCUAAUACCGCAUAACGUCGCAAGACCAAAGUGGGGGACCUUCGGGCCUCAUGCCAUCAGAUGUGCCCAGAUGGGAUUAG
Molecule: ribosomal RNA, 231 nt
Filed under: uncultured bacterium
Lineage: Bacteria
Description: partial 16S ribosomal RNA
Rfam family: Bacterial small subunit ribosomal RNA
Source: RNAcentral